UUGGGCUUACGGGAGGCAGCAGUAGGGAAUCUUCCGCAAUGGGCGAAAGCCUGAUGGAGCAACGCCGCGUGGGUGAAGAAGGUCUUCGGAUCGUAAAACCCUGUUGUUAGAGAAGAAAGUGCGUGAGAGUAACUGUUCACGUUUCGACGGUAUCUAACCAGAAAGCCACGGCUAACUACGUGCCAGCAGCCGCGGUAAUACGUAGGUGGCAAGCGUUAUCAGGAUUUAUUGGGCGUAAAGGGAACGCAGGCGGUCUUUUAAGUCUGAUGUGAAAGCCUUCGGCUUAAAC
RNAcentral lists this ribosomal RNA (289 nucleotides) under uncultured bacterium. Its description in RNAcentral is "partial 16S ribosomal RNA". It matches the Rfam family "Bacterial small subunit ribosomal RNA", at positions 331 to 614 of the family's 1533-position model. The record is from RNAcentral.